RNAcentral lists this ribosomal RNA (460 nucleotides) under uncultured bacterium. Its description in RNAcentral is "partial 16S ribosomal RNA". It matches the Rfam family "Bacterial small subunit ribosomal RNA", at positions 338 to 795 of the family's 1533-position model. The record is from RNAcentral.
CCUACGGGGGGCAGCAGUGAGGAAUAUUGGUCAAUGGACGAGAGGCUGAACCAGCCAAGUAGCGUGAAGGAUGACUGCCCUAUGGGUUGUAAACUUCUUUUAUAAAGGACUAAAACGAGGCACGUGUGCCUUUUUGCAUGUCCUUUAUGAAUAAGGAUCGGCUAACUCCGUGCCAGCAGCCGCGGUAAUACGGAGGAUCCGAGCGUUAUCAGGAUUUAUUGGGUUAAAAGGGAGCGUAGAUGGGUUGUUAAGUCAGUUGUGAAAGUUUGCGGCUCAACCGUAAAAUUGCAAUUGAUACUGGCAGUCUUGAGUACAGUUGAGGUAGGCGGAAUUCGUGGUGUAGCGGUGAAAUGCUUAGAUAUCACGAAGAACCCCGAUUGCGAAGGCAGCUUACUAAACUGCGACUGACAUUGAUGCUCGAAAGUGUGGGUAUCAAACAGGAUUAGAUACCCCAGUAGUC